CCUACGGGAGGCAGCAGUCGGGAAUAUUGCACAAUGGAGGAAACCCUGAUGCAGCGACGCCGCGUGGAUGAAGAAGGUUUUCGGAUUGUAAACCCCUUUAGACAGGGAAGAAAGAAGACAGUACCUGUCGAAUAAGCUCCGGCUAACUACGUGCCAGCAGCCGCGGUAAUACGUAGGGAGCAAGCGUUAUCCGGAUUAAUUGGGUGUAAAGGGUGCGUAGACGGGAGUGUAAGCUAGUAGUGAAAGCCCGGGGCUUAACGGAGGAACUGCGAGUAAAACUGAAUUGCUAGAGUGCGGGAGAGGAAAGUGGAAUUCCUGGUGUAGCGGUGAAAUGCGUAGAUAUUAGGAGGAACACCAGUGGCGAAGGCGGCCUUCUGGACCGUGACUGACGUUGAGGCACGAAAGUGUGGGGAGCAAACAGGAUUAGAUACCCUUGUAGUC
RNAcentral lists this ribosomal RNA (441 nucleotides) under uncultured bacterium. Its description in RNAcentral is "partial 16S ribosomal RNA". It matches the Rfam family "Bacterial small subunit ribosomal RNA", at positions 338 to 795 of the family's 1533-position model. The record is from RNAcentral.